CCCACCCGCGGAUCUCUGUGGGUACCGCAGUGCUGUCUUCUAUAGGAAACUUUUCUCAAUUGUGCUGAUGGAAUCAACCUGGCUGGAAGAAGCAGCUAUUGGUAUUGAAAUCCCUUCCGAGUCAAGUACUUAGUAGUGAGGAAAGGAGAGGAAAACUCUUGAUCAAAGUUGGGGCUCGUCUGCUCCUGCUUGUCGUAUUUAUCCUCUGUACCCGAAGGAGGAACAGUUAGACUUGUCUGAGUAAUUGUUGGGGAGCCGGGAACUCCUCUGGGAAAUGAGAAGUACUUUCCUAGGCAGCAUCAGGGUGAGAGAACUGAGAGGUUUUCUGGAAAAGCAGACCACAAGGCAAGUGAUCCUAAGAUGUCUCCUCCUCUCAACACUAGAAGGGCACUGUGCAAGCAUCUAAGGGAUGAGGAAGCCAUCAGGCAAAGGGAGCAGCAGCUUCUGGGAAUUCUGCCUACUAAACCAGGCACUCGAAAAUUUCCCAGCAUGCUCUGAGAACUCAGGUCUUGGUCUCACUCUUCUUGGAUUCAAGCCCUUUGUCCAGCUCUGCACUGGUAACACAGAGCCUACUUGAGAUUCUCUAUCUCCCUCUCUCUCU
Molecule: long non-coding RNA, 601 nt
Organism: Neofelis nebulosa (Clouded leopard)
Lineage: Eukaryota; Metazoa; Chordata; Mammalia; Carnivora; Felidae
Exons: 3
Source: RefSeq, a predicted model, not a curated record